AACUGAUACUACCUGCGGGAACCUGCGGAGGGAUCAUUACCGAGUUUACAACUCCCAAACCCCAUGUGAACAUACCUGUUUCGUUCCCUCGGCGGUGUCCGGCAACGGCCCGCCAGAGGACCCAACAAACUCUUUUGAAUUUUUCAGUAUCUUCUGAGUGAAAAAAACAAUAAAUCAAAACUUUUAACAAUGGAUCUCU
Molecule: unclassified non-coding RNA, 199 nt
Filed under: soil metagenome
Description: partial contains 5.8S ribosomal RNA, internal transcribed spacer 2, and large subunit ribosomal RNA
Source: RNAcentral